CCGGCAAGAACGAGGACACUUCACAGGGCUGGGCUGCCGAGGAAAGAUGAGAGACUAAACUGAUGAGAAUCACCAACCAGUUUGAUGACUUGGAGAACAGUCACUUCCUCUUUCUGGGCUACAGUUUUCUCAUCAGUAACUGAAGAGCUUGCAGUACCUUCAACAUUCCUUCAGGAUUCAACUAGAAUCUCUGGGUCUGUGUGAAGACCAAGAGCUGGGAACAGAAGCAGGGCUCUAGAGGGAAAAGUUUCUUUCGGAUUCCUUUUUUUUGUUUUGUUUUAAAGAGCUGCUCUGUGAGAAGACAAGGAGAAAAUGGUCCCUACAGGAUACUCACCUCUGUCUCAGGGAGACACUCAAGCAUUUAUUCAACCAAGAAAGAGAAUUAGUUCCAGUACAGACAGCCAGCAUGCAGUGAGCACUCAGCGAUGGCCAAGUAUGGGAGAAGCCAUGCUGGAAUGAACAUGUGGGACCAUUUUGUGCAGUUUCUCAGAGGAAGAUAACAACCAUCUUCAAUGGCACAUGGCAGUUGCCAAAUUGCCAUGAAGCAAUAUCUAAAGCCACCUCAUGCUCAGGAGAAAACGCUCACCUUCCCCUCCUGGCUCCCCGUGCUCUACACGUUCAGAGAAACUUCUCUAGUAAUGAACUCAGGAACUGGUCACUGAGAGUAUAGUCUCUAUGGACAGCUUCGGAGCCAUGGAGUGAAGCCGAGCAAAUCCAUGGACCACUGCCCUGCCCCCGGUCUAUCUCGCUAGACUAGGGACAGGACUUGGGUGAUGCAGGAACAGAGAAUGGCCUGAGGAGGACACAGACCAGACCAGAGAGGAAGGAAGAUGAGAGGAGGAUGCGGGAAAGGGGCUUACAUCAAUCUCCAGAAGCAAGAGUUGGCAAAAGGCAGAAGGGAAAAGGCAUAGAUCCAAAAAGGCAAUGGGAGAGAGGGUUUAUUGGAUUUGUCCUCUUUGACCUCCAGGGAUUGUAGGGAGGAGAUAAAAUGGAAUAAAG
This 999-nucleotide long non-coding RNA is filed under the name Homo sapiens (human). RNAcentral describes it as "non-protein coding lnc-FAM83A-2:2". Lineage: Eukaryota; Metazoa; Chordata; Mammalia; Primates; Hominidae. The record is from RNAcentral.